UAUAUCAACCAAAAAAGCCGUCAUAGCGGACAAAUAACCACGGUGUCCUACCUUUUUUAUUGCAGAAAAAAAAUUGUUAUGAAGUUUUGAAUCUUUUUUGAAAGUUAUUUGAAAAUCGCCAGUGUAGUUUUCGAGAAACUGAAUUUCAGCCUUUCCAAAGGCUAAAAUGCGUCUUAAAGGCUGAAACUCAGUUUCUCGAAAACUACACUGACGAUUUUCAAAUAACUUAUAUAAGUUAUAAUAACAAAUAAAAAAUAUUCAAAACUUGAUAACAAUGUAUUUUCUGCAAUAAAAAGGUAGGUCACCGUGGUUAUUUGUCCGCUAUGACGGCUUUUUUGGUUGAUAUA
Non-coding RNA from Paramuricea clavata, 347 nucleotides. NCBI's taxonomy places the organism in Eukaryota, Metazoa, Cnidaria, Anthozoa, Malacalcyonacea, Plexauridae. The record is from the annotation of a GenBank genome assembly.